UUUAUUAGAUUUCGUAAAGGUGAAGUGAAGUGUUUGAUGAAUUAUUGUUUUGUUUUUCUUGUUAUUUUGUUUUGGGAAAUCACAUGGGCACACAUGUUUUGCUGAUUUGCCAAUUUUUGCCGCCCUACCGAUUCCUCUCUCUGUCUCAUAAACACUUGUGCUGUGCUGCUGGCUGCUGCAAUGGCAUUUAAUAUUUAUGGGUGAGGAAGUAGAUUUUAGGCUUCAUGAUCCAUCUCUAUUUCGCACUAUUUCCAAUAGUGAAUCAAGUAAUUACUUGACCCUACACAACAGUGGGGUUGGCCCAACUACCUUUUUCACCAGUUUCCGUUUAACAGAGUCUGCAGCAUGGAGCCAAAUGGUGAUUUCAGGUACAUGUUUUAUACAGUUUUCUGAGAAUCAUCAGCUUGAUCAUAACAACUAAGAUCUAAUAGAUUUCACAUGUCUGGAAUCUAAGUGUUGAGCGUUCAUUUAUUGCUUGACCACUUCAUCUUCCCCAUGGGAAGAAUGAAUGCAUGGUAACUAACCUAGCCUAACAAUCUGUACUAGACGAGAAUGAGAACUUGUACAAUUGAUUGUCAGGUACUGACGAAGCAGAACCAAAGAAGGAUCAUCUAACUGAACCAAAGUGAGCAAGUAAGAGUUACGAUUUGGUCUGAUUGAGGAGGUCACGGGAGUAGAUUCGGAGCACAUCAUCAUCCUUAGGUAAAAUGGAAGUGGGGUCUUUGCAUUCAGUAAUGAUAUGCAGAAGGAAGAAGACAUACUGAAAAGGCUGCAUUUUGGGGGAAGAAAGUGAGGAUGAGGAGGAGGAGGGAUAUUUGUACUAUUGGUUUGUUCCUUUUUCCCUUUUAUCUUAUUUGUUGGUUUUUUCAUCUAAACUCACAAGCAAAGCAGAAGCUACAGGAAUAGAGAGGGCCGGCCUGGGUGCUGAAUCCAUUUUUAUCAGCACAUGCUGAUUCAUUCAUCCAACGGUCGGUGAUGGGCCUGGAAGGAUCCAACGGUCGGUGAUGGGCCUGGCAGAUCCAACGGUCGGUGAUGGGCCUGGCAGGAUCCAACGGUCGGUGAUGGGCCUGACAGGAUUUUUUCCAACGGUCGGUGAUGGGCCAACAGGAUCCAACGGUCAAAUGUGUCCGGUUUAUUUUUUUUAAUUUUUUGUCUACACCAUAUCUACCCGGUUUGAUUUGGUUUUAAAUUGAGUUUUGGAUUGGGAAUUAAGUUUUUAUUUUUGAUUUUAAAUUUUGGGUUUGGUUUAGGCAAAAAAAUCAUAUUCAGAUGGGUUUUAAUUUUGGGCGUUGGGUGUUGGGUCAAAUUCAAAAUUUAAAAUUUAAAUUAAAAACCUAAUAUUCUAGACCCUAAAUCUUAAAUCGUAAACCAAACACAAAAUUCAAACUAAAAAAUUAAAAAUUAAAUUAAAAACUUUAAUAUUAUAGACUCUAAAUUUUAAACUCUAAACCGAAUUCAAAAUCAAAAAUCAAAAAUCAAAAAAUCAAACCCAAAAUAGAAACUCAAAACUCAAUUUAAAACCACCCCGAACCUGAAAGAUAUGGUGUAAAAAAAAAAGAGAUUAUGGCCAAAAUGACCCCUAUACUAUACAAAUUAACAAUUGAG
RNAcentral lists this long non-coding RNA (1605 nucleotides) under Linum usitatissimum (flax). Its description in RNAcentral is "long non-coding RNA (LUSI_LNC007124)". The record is from RNAcentral. Lineage: Eukaryota; Viridiplantae; Streptophyta; Magnoliopsida; Malpighiales; Linaceae.